This 460-nucleotide ribosomal RNA is filed under the name uncultured bacterium. RNAcentral's name for it is "partial 16S ribosomal RNA". It matches the Rfam family "Bacterial small subunit ribosomal RNA", at positions 338 to 795 of the family's 1533-position model. The record is from RNAcentral.
CCUACGGGUGGCAGCAGUGAGGAAUAUUGGUCAAUGGACGAGAGUCUGAACCAGCCAAGUAGCGUGAAGGAUGACUGCCCUAUGGGUUGUAAACUUCUUUUAUAUGGGAAUAAAAUGUUCCACGUGUGGGAUUUUGUAUGUACCAUAUGAAUAAGGAUCGGCUAACUACGUGCCAGCAGCCGCGGUAAUACGGAGGAUCCGAGCGUUAUCCGGAUUUAUUGGGUUUAAAGGGAGCGUAGGUGGGUUGUUAAGUCAGUUGUGAAAGUUUGCGGUUCAACCGUGAAAUUGCAGUUGAAACUGGCAGUCUUGAGUACAGUAGAGGUGGGCGGAAUUCGUGGUGUAGCGGUGAAAUGCUUAGAUAUCACGAAGAACUCCGAUUGCGAAGGCAGUUCACUGGACUGCAACUGACACUGAGGCUCGAAAGUGUGGGUAUCAAACAGGAUUAGAUACCCGUGUAGUC